CCUACGGGAGGCAGCAGUGAGGAAUAUUGGUCAAUGGGCGGGCGCCUGAACCAGCCAAGCCGCGUGAAGGAAGAAGGCGCCAGGCGUCGUAAACUUCUUUUGUCGGGGAACAAAGGGCGCCACGCGUGGCGUUGUGAGUGUACCCGAAGAAAAAGCAUCGGCUAACUCCGUGCCAGCAGCCGCGGUCAUACGGGGGACGCGAGCGUUCUCCGGGUUUAUUGGGCUUAAAGGGUGCGUAGGCGGUCCGGAAAGGCAGCGGUCAAAGCCCGGGGAGCAACCCCUGCGAGCCGUUGAAACUGUCGGACGAGAGACGGCGAGAAGUACGCGGAAUGCGCGGUGUAGC
This 343-nucleotide ribosomal RNA is filed under the name uncultured bacterium. Its description in RNAcentral is "partial 16S ribosomal RNA". It matches the Rfam family "Bacterial small subunit ribosomal RNA", at positions 338 to 679 of the family's 1533-position model. The record is from RNAcentral.